AUUCAUAAAUUAGAAUAAGAAAAAAAGCAAAAUGAAAAGAACAAAAAGAGUCCAACUUUCUCUUCGUUUCUAUUUUUCCCCAAUUCCAAAAGAAAAAACCCUUGCCGUGAAUUCUCAAAUCCACAAUGAGAAAGCUUCCAUCAUCUUCGACGAGAACUUGCUCACCAAUCCAAACCUCUGCGAUUUGGCGCCACCGCCGAUGAGAAGCUGUGAUUUUGCAUAGUCGAUUUUCGCUUUAAAUGGUUUAGUUGUGCUUCUCUUCGUCCCAUUCGUGUUUAUUUCUCUGCGUUUUAUUUCUUGGUGCUCUAUUGUGAAUUUUCCUUCACAAAUGAAGAAUUAUUUUCGAUCUUACUUUGAUAUAUAUAGUUGUUAUAUGUGGAGCUAGGUUUAUCUCCUUUGUGAAAGAUCUCCGUCGCAAUGUCGACGAUUUUGGCGUUCUGAACUUGCUCCCCCGCUCACCUCGCCGCUUCCCCAAUCAUUGUAACUUCUCAUCUCUAAUUGUUUAUCGGUUACUUUGGUGUUAUCCUCUGUAUAUUCGACUAAACCUUUUCUUCAAGUUUUUAUUUAUUUUUAUGUUGGUGGUUUAAUUUUCUCCAAUAUUGAUGUUUCUGCUCAAUUGUUGCAGAUAUAGGUGAAGAGCACUAAAGUUACAAAAAUUGUGUUGUAGUUCUACAUCUACAUUUAACUAAUACAAUGUUUGAGUCUGAUGCAGUUUUACAUCUACAACUACGUGCUCUACAUGAUUUAUCAUAUACAGGUAUCUGCUUGAAUUGCAGCUCUUCAUCUACUGAUGUUGGGCUCUGUUGUUGAGCUCUAUCUAUAUCCUCAUCCACUGCACAAGUAAAUGCAAUCCAAAGUCUUUAGUUAUAAUGGCGUAGUGUUGUAUGUUUGCACCUAUUUAUUUGAUGUCUGCGCCAACUAUAAUAUGGAUUUGGCAUAGUGUUCAGAUUAUGGUUGGGAGCUCUUCUGUGGGGAAUUCCAUAUGAGAAUAGAGUUCUCAUUCUUUUGGAAAUCCAAUUUAAUUAGCAUUACCUCUUGUUUUAUAUUUUCUUCUGAUCCUGUUUUCCAACCCUCAUCAAAUAGCUCAAGAUUAAUCAUAUAUCAAUUUGAGUUUCUGGAAUUUCAGAGGUGAAAGAAUGCCUGGCAGAUCACAUUGUUUAAAGAAUCGAUUCAUGUUGUUACGUUCUUGCCAUCCCCCUUUUUUCACAAGUAAUAUAUUGAUAUUUUUCAAUUUUUAUUGCCUAGUCCAUAAUAGAUAGUUAAUAGUUGUGUAAUCUCAAUUCAAUUUUUAUUGCUUGGUUCAUGAGACUGAAGAUAAUAUUUUGCAAUUCUACACAAUUUUCUCCAAAUGUUACCAUCCUUGUAAUAAGAGUAGUUGAUUUAUUUCAGAACUCGAAGAAGUAGAAACAGAUUGCUGAUUUAACUUGCUCCCUUUCAGUUUCUAGAGAGAGAGAGACGAGGACAACUGCACUAAAGUUGCAUAGAUUAUUCACAUUUCUAAGGAAGGAGAUAUGAACAGAGGAGGCAUGACACUACUGCUUCUUUCCUUACUGAAAUUAUACUAGCCCUAAAAGAGGUUUGGUGUAUCAUUUGUAGAUGUGAAUUGCAGUCUUGCCAUGGAAAUGUGAAUUGGCUCAAAAAGAAAAGGGCUUUUCAUUGCCCAUGUUUGGUUAUCUCACUCCAAAAUCAUCAAGCUCUUUUCUUUUCUAUUGACAUGACUGAUAAUGUCUUGGAUUAACUGUGUGUGUGUAUGACACAAUUUUAACUAGUGUUAUUCACUUUGAAAGAAGCAGCAUGGAAAUUACUUGAUUGUACCAAGUUAAUUGGCUCAAAUAUCAAACGAGCUAGGAGCAGCUCAAUUUGCUGUCACAUGCCUUCUUUUUGCCUUUGAAAUUUGAUUCUUUUCCAGUUGCAUUAAGAUAGGUUGACUUGAAUAUGUCAAUAUAGCUAAGUUUUUGUGUUGUUACUGUUAUUCCAGUUCAACUUCAUCAGUCGCAACAGCCUGACACCAUUGCUAAUCGUCGAUGCUUAUUAAUUUAUUUGUGGUGAUGAAUUGAUAAGGUUCAGCUGCCUUGCCUCCUCUUCACAACAUUACAGUUCAAGGCGGACUAUAAUACUGACAGGAAAAUUGUUGCGAAACUGAAGUCAUGCUUGGAAAGAUCAAUCUUUUCGGGGAGUGAAGAUAAACUUUGGCGAGCUUUUGCCUCCCCUUGAUGUAUCUAAAGACGAUCUAUCAUUUAUUUAAUUCAUUUAUUUCUAUUAGUUCAGACCUUAGAUUAAAUUAUCUACAUGUUUUGUUCAUUUACUUUAGGAGAUAUGUUGAUGUAUCACUUUUAAUUUAAUUAAUUUGUUUUGGCUAGAGUA
Salvia miltiorrhiza (redroot sage) is the source of this 2364-nucleotide long non-coding RNA. RefSeq lists it as uncharacterized. NCBI's taxonomy places the organism in Eukaryota, Viridiplantae, Streptophyta, Magnoliopsida, Lamiales, Lamiaceae. The transcript is spliced from 3 exons. The record is from RefSeq and is a predicted model, not a curated record.